ACAUUCUUAUUUUUAUCGAGCACAAACGGAAACAAUGCAAUGGCAGCCUCUGCUUAGAAAAAGCUGUGGAUAAGCCACCUUCCCCUUCACCAAUCGAGAUGAAAAAAGCAUCCAAUCCCGUGGAGGUUGGCAUCCAGGUCACGCCAGAGGAUGACGAUUGUUUAUCAACGUCAUCUAGAGGAAUUUGCCCCAAACAGGAACACAUAGCAGCAGGAUGUGGGAAUGACCAUUUCCAUGUGUUGUCUUGUGACUGGAAGGAAAAUGAACAGAAGUGUAAGGCAUGAUUAAUGAAGCAAGAGCAGGCGGAAGGGGAUUUGUCGUCUUCGGAGAUCCAAAGCCUUGCUAAAUCACCAAAUAUGGAGUAACACUUGC
Molecule: small RNA, 372 nt
Filed under: Pan troglodytes (chimpanzee)
Lineage: Eukaryota; Metazoa; Chordata; Mammalia; Primates; Hominidae
Description: processed transcript
Source: RNAcentral